Long non-coding RNA from Sinocyclocheilus grahami, 2347 nucleotides. The record is from Ensembl. NCBI's taxonomy places the organism in Eukaryota, Metazoa, Chordata, Actinopteri, Cypriniformes, Cyprinidae.
CUUCUAACGAAAUGCUUCCGUGUCAUCAAAACUAAUUAAUGUGCCUCUGAGAGCUAGAUGCUCAGUUUUCUGGAUGAAUGCAUUAUUUAUUUAAACACACAAUUGGUAAAUAUAAUACAAAAACACUGCAAAGUCACUUUGGAUAAAAGUGCAGAUGAAAUGCAUGCUGUGACAGUCGAGGGUACAGCUGGUCUGUGGCUGAGAGCCAGAAACGUGUGUUUGCAAGAUGUUACAGUAGAUUUACUCAGUUGUUCCUUGCAUCAGCUGUUUACUCGCAGCCUGCAGUUACAUCACGAAACUUUUUCUUUUCUUCAGCCAAUAAAAGACAAGCUGUGUUUGUUGGCCCAAAAGACCCGCCACAGUUGGUUGUGUCCGAGCGUCGCAGCUCUGUCCCGCGGGAGAGACACUGAACUAAAGACUGCUCGAAGACGGACUCUGGCACAGAUAUCGUGAGGAUGGAAGCAGGACGCCUCUGUGUUGAGCGAGCAGUGGCUCAUUUCAUCAUCAUGUCAAACACCUCGGCUCUGAGCCUGAACUCCAGCGUCUCUGGGUGGCGUCGUCCGCUGUGGUACCAGUAUGAAGUGUGUGCGGAAGCUUCUCAUUGGUUCAUCUUCUACUUUGGAGUGAAAGUAUUGAACAUGGUUGCAGGAUUCCCAAUGAACGCCCUCGUGUUGUGGCAGAUUCUGAGGAAGAAGAGCAAAGGCUCGACGUCAGACAUCUUCAUUUUUAACCUUUCCAUCCUCGACGCCUAUUUCGGCGUCAUGAGCGUUAACGAGGUCUACAGCGGAGUCAUCCUCUCGGCCUUCUUCAUCAUGGUGUUCUGCAACCUCUCCAUCAUCUGGGUCAGGAAGAGCGUCGCAGGGAAAGAAGUCAUGAACCCGGUGAAGAAGAAGGCCUUUAAAAUGGUGCUUAUCGUCCUGGCCAUCAUCGUUGGGAGCUAUCUGCCUCCUGUGGCUCUGCUGCCGUUUGCUUCCACCUUCUCGUUCAUGAAGCUACAUUGUAAGGUUCUUCUCGGCGUCUUCUCCAUCAUGGACCUGAGCUGCACCAUCGAGCCUUCGCUCUACAUCUCUAAGAUGGAGCGCUCCACGUUCUGUCAAUGCCUGCAGAGUCCCUCCAAGAAACCCAUCAGCGUGAGCGUCUGAAAUUAAAAACUGUCUGAUUUUGUGUGUGUGAUUGUAGACCUUUGGGUUGUCAUUGUAUCUUUCUGUGGUUCUCAACUGGCGUGUCUCAGGUCUGUCAUGAUUGGUCACUGAAAGAGGGAAAACACAAUGUUAAGUGCAAAAAAGUAAACAAAACAAAAAAAUUUAACAGUAAAAUACUCAUCAACCAAAUAAAGAAAAGAGAAAACACCUACCAUAUGCAUAGCUACUGAUGAUGUCAAAGGUUGUGUGUCCAUCAAACUCUACAAUAUUCAUCCUACAACAGUAAGAUUUCUCUUUAUAGGGGUAAAAGUCAAACUAGACAUAUGGAUCAACUUGGACGGGGUGUGUGACGCUCUGAUCCUCAAACCAUGAACAAAACUACACACUCAAAAAAUGCAUAACGUUCGCUCACUCUGAACUGUCUGCUGCAUAGAAACACUUCAAUUUGGUUAAAGUCAUGUAAAUAAUUUUUCAUCUUACUGAGCCUUUGCAGGGUCUACUUAUUACAAUAUUAAUACAUUUCAAUGUUUAAUAUGUCAAUUGUAGCGCCGUGUUGCAUGAUGCUGGGUUUAUGGUUGGAGUACUGCUCUUAUUUGAAAUGCUGAUUUGAUCAAAACCAGUAGAGAAGCACUGAUUUAACGAAGCGCUCGUCAUCAGCAUGUUGACUUCAUGAAACUGUGCCGGUUGUUGUGUUUUCUGUGUCGUGUUUCCCCAGACGUCUCCUGUUUGCCUGUUUCUCCGCUGCUCGUUUAACUCCUCGUGACUCUCUUCUGAUUGAUCUUCAGACUCCGGGAACAAAUCUGAACUUCACUUUCUUCUCAUUGUUGUGUUUGUGUCAGAUAACCUGCUUCUUUUACUUCUCACAGGUUAGAUACCAGCUUUCCAGAUGCAUAAUUAAGAACAUUAACGAGUCACUAAUUAAGACAUUAAUUAAAAUGCCUGGGGAUUAAUUAAGAACGGACUGAGGUGGCGCAGAUGGUAGAUGUAGAUGAUGCUACGAGAUUAAUUAACACGAAAAACAUUUACAGUAGAAGCUCAUGUAAGCUUGUGUUGUCAUUGAUCUCGGACUGCUAGAGAUGGUUUAAUAACCCGAGCAUAAUAGACAAGAAAUAUGAACAGUUGCUGUAUUUUCUGAUGCAUAAAGGAACUCCAAAAAUGAUAUACUUGUCUGUGUUCACUUAUUCUUCCAUUCUGAAUUAUAGCAG